Homo sapiens (human) is the source of this 1068-nucleotide long non-coding RNA. Ensembl annotates it as long intergenic non-protein coding RNA 963. The record is from Ensembl. Lineage: Eukaryota; Metazoa; Chordata; Mammalia; Primates; Hominidae.
GAGUCAUCGCCGCCCCCGGCCCCGACGCUGGCCUGCGGCGUCUGUUUGUGCAGAGCGAGGCCCCGCCGGCCGGGCUUGACGUCAGGCUGGCAGGGCCUGGAACGGCCCCGCAUCGCGGCCCCCUGGGGGCAGGACGACACCGCUGGGGGCCGAGGGCAGGGCACGCCUUCGGAAUCCGGCUUCGAAGCCGGCCGCCUGACCUGGGGCAAGUGCUUUCAACUCUCUGAACUUCGGUUCCUCAUCUGCCAGUUGGCAGACGCUCAGCAAAUCUUCCUAGACUCACGGGGCGAAUUGUACAGUUGGGUAAAUCGAGGCCCAGAGAUGGCAAAAGGACCGUCCAAGGUCGUACAGCCACCCGGAAUUACAAUUCUUUUCUGCCGGGUCACACGCUGUCAUCCACGUGUUACCUAAGAGAGCUUUCCAGCCUGUGCUAAGAAAACUGCCCCACAUCAUCUGCAGUAGGACGGGGGAGUUGGAGCCCUGGUCAGGCCACUCUGCUACUGACCACAGUUUUCUCAUCUCUAAAAAGGCGCAGUAACAAUAUAAUUACCGUAUGCAGUCCCCCAGGAUACAGGGUCAAAGGAGAGCACAACCAUCGCAGUUGGAAGCCCAUGGGGCAGCAGGGCCCAGGACACAGUGAGCAUACAAUAGACAUUAGCUGCUGUGGUGUCUUGAUUUCAAGCCCAGUGCAGAUGCAUCUGACUUACGAAACUUCAGUGACACCUGCUCUGUGCCAGACACUGAAGAUGGAGCAGUGAACAGCACUGACCCAGCCUGUCCUCCUGUUGCCUGCAGGCCAGAUGCCGUUCCAUUGUUUGCUGACUUUCAUUGAUUCUAUGAGAAGUCUGCAGUCUUUUGCAGCGUUGUUUUCCUAUGUAUAAUUGUCUCCUCCCACCCCACUCACCCCAGCUGCUUUCCACAUUCUCUCUCUUUGAUUUUCAGCAGUCUGCCCAUGAUGUGCCUAAAUAGGACUUUCUUUGCAUUCAUCUUGGCUGGGGCUCACUGAACUUUCUGAAUCUGUAGAUUAAUUUUCUUUUUUCAAUAAACCUUGGAAUAUUUUCAGCAUAA